This 3564-nucleotide long non-coding RNA is filed under the name Oryza sativa (Asian cultivated rice). RNAcentral describes it as "long non-coding RNA (OSAT_LNC001342)". The record is from RNAcentral. Lineage: Eukaryota; Viridiplantae; Streptophyta; Magnoliopsida; Poales; Poaceae.
UGCAUUGCUAGCCUUUUUGUUCUUCUUUUCGGCGAGUUCUCUCGACAAGAGGUAACUUGUCUCGAUGGCUUGAGCUAUCGGGGCUAUUAUGUCGCUUUAGAUGUUUUAGUCCUUUUAUCAUGACCAUCUACUAUCAUAUGUCUUAGUUAAUCUAGUCUUAGUAUCUCGAUUUAGCCUUAUCGGCUGGUUGCCGCUUUAGGGUUCUUGUUGAUAUCGGCUAAAUCAUCUUACUAGAAUAAAUUAGCUAAGGAAUCUACCAUCCUAAAAAUUGGUUAAUUACUUGAUUGUUUAGACUUUAGGUUUCUUUACAUACUUUGCGAUGCAUCAUCCCUAGUCUUGUCUUGAACCCUAAAAAACUAACCUGCAAUUAAUCAUAAUUAAGGAUAGUAUCAGAGUUCAGCCGAUCUUACCUAAUAUACAUGCUUCUUUACUAGUUUUAUGUAUAUUUGCCACUUAUAUAGACAGAUCACCUUAUAUAAAUAUAGGCAAAUUUUCCUACAGGACAUCGCAAUUGUGUGGUUUUAGCUUAGGGACACUGCGAAAGUGAUGUUUUGGGGGAAGACAUACCAUAAUCGUGGAUAUUUGCCGAUGAACACCGCGCCGUCUUGUCGGGUCCCAAAACUAAUGAUUCGGAAACCGACAUGUUUAGACUGUAUCAAGCCCUGGAUCAGUAGAUUGAUAUAGGUUCAAUGAUCUGGAUCUUCAUUGCAUACAUUUGAUCAAGGUUUCAAAGGAGAUAAUAUUACAAAAUAUAAGGGUAUUUACAAGCUUGUGGCUAACUAUUACAGCAGAAGCUAUACGAUGACUCAACUCUAGUGUUUUGCUAUAGACUUAAACCAUCUAUCUAAUCUAUACUUGAGAACUAAGUUAAAAUGAGAUUAACUUAUAUGAUUGAACUCCCGGCUUCAGUAAGAACAUCAAACGGACUCUGAAAAAAAUGUGGGGUUGAAGCAAGGGUGAGUACAACAUACUCAGUAAGCUAUUAUAUUAAUCAACAAUGAAUGCAUGGAAUAAUAAUAUUUGAGUAGGGUUAGAUUUACUUGCAGAAUGCAGAGAAUAUAGAAGGAAAGUCUAUAAUGUUUUAAAUGCAACAGUAUUUAAUAAAGUUUGAAAUUAUGUUUCUAACCAAGAUAUCAUUGUGAGUCCCAAUGCCCGAUAACCGUGAGCACGGCUAUUCGAAUAGUUUUAAUAAUAUUCAUACUGCAGUAGAUGUACGCUUUACCCGCAAUCCAUGACGUGCCAAACACAUUAGCCUUGUCAUGGCAAAGCUUUUCGGUCACUAACAUCAGUAGUACCUGUUCCAUGAACUCUAGUCCCCAUACGCUCUGAACGUAAUGUUAUCAGCAGCGAGAGUAGUUCUAGCGUUCCCGGGGUUUUUAGAGAGAACUGGUUGAGAGACCCCCGUCAUCUCAAUCAGGUUUUCAUAAUUCACACACACAGCUCGCGAGAUAAUCAAGAUAUUUACCUGCGCCUCGGUAAAUAUCACAAUCGCCCUGCUCGGUGUAAGUUUGCCUCCUGCGCGAGGACUUAAGAAGAACCACUAUACAGAGGUAUCACCUUUGCUAGAUAACUUAAUCAGCUAGGUCUAUGCCCAUACGAGAAUUGCGGUCGUACUCGUAUGUUCUUCACAUGUACUUGGCAGUCUUAUGUUGGUUGGAACAGUACUAGCCACCCGGAAAUCAACCAUUUCUACCGUACUGUCCCAAUCUAAGUUCAUUAUAUUUUAUGCAUAAUCUAACUAGGCAUGGCUAAGCAAAAUCUAGCAUAUAUCUGGUUUGCUAUAUAUUCAGGUUAUGCAUUUAAAAUCAUGUAUGGCUAAUGCACAAGAUACUGGAGAUAUAGAAUAUAGGAUUAUUAUGCUCAAAGGAGAGGAAUAAUAAUAACUUGCCUUGCUCCAACGCAAAUAAAUCCGAAAUAGGCAACCUGAUUAUCUGAUGCUUGAAAUACCACAGGUUGCUAUCCAUAUAAAAUAGACUCUACUAAAGAAGAGGAAGAUCCAAAUUCGAUAAAAGCCAUAAAAUAGCAAGAAAGAGAUAAACGGUUAGGAGGACUAGGGUUUAGGGUAUAGCUUAUCUCUUUUAUGCAGGUAUAUGGAUUACUGGGCUGAUAUUUUAUGUGCAGGUUCUAAAGGGUUGGGGGCUAAGGUGGAUAGGAGAUUAAGCAACAAUUGUCGCUUAUAUUUCUUGUGUGGGUUUUGGUUUUUUGGAGAGUAGGAGAUAUACCGAAUAAUCUAUCUGGUUAAGUGGAUAUGUGGCUAGUAUUGGUCGAGGUUGGGCUUUGGUAGAAGAAUGGCUAGGAUUUAGUUGUUCUCGAGUUGAUGUUGAAAUAGGAUAGCAUAUCGGAUCGUAAUUCAUGCAUAGGCUAUGGGUAGUAGGAGGGUAAAUGGUUGUGAUUAUAGCUGGUGGGGAGUCUAGAAAAUAAGCUGACUAAGGUUUCAGUUGUCUAAGCGUAUAUCGAUGUAAGAUAAAUAUCGACUAGGGUUUGGGUGUUCGCUAGUCGUCUCUAAAGCAUGACGACUAGGUUUGGUAUCGUCUCUAGCCGGUGUCGAUAGACAAUAUAACGGCUAGAGGGAUGGGAGGUUUGUGCAGGUUUAGCGAUGCGGAAGUGUUACUCCGACAACCGUGACUGGCGGCGAAGCGGCUAGGAUCACACAGAGCUCAAGAGCUAACUAUGAGGCGUGCUGUGGAGGUCGAGGGAAUAGUGAAGCUCCGACCGUUGUACGCAUCAAGGCGUGGGGUGCUAGGAGCAGCACUUCGACCUUGGGUUUGGUUUUGCUGGGCUUUACAACCAACGGUUCGACGUUGGGGCCAAUAGACCGCAAACGUCCCCAUGGAAGGCGUAAAGUUCCAACCGGCGGCUUUUUAGUGGCUAAAGGGUAUUUUGGGGUAAAAGAAAAUAUUUGAAAAAGGCAAAUAUAAAUUCAAAUGAUAUUUGAAUAAAUUCAAAUAAAAUUAUAAAAUAACAAAUUAGGCAUCAAAACGAAGCAUUUGAAUUUAGAUGAAUUUAGGUCCAGGUUUCACUGAGAUCGGAUAUGCGGUUUAGGAGAUAUAGGCUUCUAAAUAUUGGAAUUUGAAUUAAAUAGAGUAAAUUGCGAAAGUAUACUGUUCAUGGGCCCACCUGUCAGGGAUUCCUUUUUCUUUUUCUUUUUCUCCUCUUCUUCUUCUUCCCGUCUCUUUCUUCUUUUUCUCCUUGGUCGAACAGAGAGGAGAAGGAGAGGGGGCGCCGGGCUCCGGUGGCGAGGAGGCGGUAACGCCGGCGGCCACUGGUGUUCCCGACUGCAACGCACCUAGGGAUGGCAGUGGCCGGCAAAGGGAGUAAGGGAAAUAGCCGGAACGGCGGAUGGAAGGUCGUGAACCGGGAGGAGAGAGAGAGCUCCGGUGAGGUUUGAUUCAGAGGUGGAGGAAGAGGGGAAAGGGGAAAAAUGGAUUCCUCUCAUCGAGGAAAGCUCGAUGGCGCGAGGGAUUGUCCGGUAUUGCUCCGGUGAGGGAGAUCGGCCGACGACAGUGAUAGCCGGCCAUGGAAAGGAGAGAGAAAAGAGAGGAGAGCUUCAAGCUCGGUUUGUGG